Molecule: long non-coding RNA, 1055 nt
Organism: Alnus glutinosa
Lineage: Eukaryota; Viridiplantae; Streptophyta; Magnoliopsida; Fagales; Betulaceae
Exons: 4
Source: RefSeq, a predicted model, not a curated record
CAAUGCCUCUUUUUCUCUCAGAACCGAGAGAAGGAAAGAAGAGAAAGAAAAGAUGGGGAAACUUUUCUCAUUUUUGCGAUCUACGGGGAUCCAACGGUUUGAUCUUCAAUCCGUCUACGGAAACGUAAUCCUUGAAGCCCGAUCUACGUUUUGACCGAACUUUUUAAGGAUAGUGUCCGGAUUGGAGACUUUAAUGGGUUCUCCAAUGUAGAGUUCGAGUCAUGUGUCCAAUGCAGCCAAGAUGAUGUUCUUUUGGCUGCAGGUAUUCCGGUCGUAGUUGAUAGCAUUGUAGAAGGGUAUUUUGGAUGUUAUGACUGAAGCACGCCGCAACGGUCGUAAUUGGUGGACCACGGGUUGUCCACUUGUUUAUAGGUUUAGUUUAUGGCUUGUGACGUUUGUGUCACUUGUUAUUGUACAAAACCAUUUAUGUCACUUAUUUAAUUCGUGGAAAGAUUUAAUCAUAUAGAUACUUAAUGGCUCUUUGUUGUAAUUAUUUGUGAUAGAUGUAUAAGAUGUGAUUUCCGCUAUUAGGUUAUGUUUUCCGCUGCAUAGUUGAUAGAUGUUAUACUCUGAUUUACCAGGUACAUAUUAUGGGGUAUGUACAUAUGUUGGCUUUGCGACAUAUCGUCGUGCCACUGUGAAGAUCCGUUUAUAUUUUAAGGGAUUAAUGAUUAUGUGGAUGUUUUGUAGCAAAAAAAAAAAAAAAAAAAAAAAAAAAAAAAAAAAAAAAAAAACGGGUCGUCACAAGUUUCAUUUUCCCCUUGAUCGGCAGACAACUGGCAUGGAUCCAAUAACGAGAAGACAUGUAUGUGACAUAAUAAAUGAUGCAAAGAAAGGUCGUGCCAUUGUCCUAACAACACAUUCAAUGGAAGAAGCUGAUAUUUAAAGUGACCGCAUAGGAAUCAUGGCCAAGGGUAGGCUUCGCUGCAUUGAAACCUCAAUCAGGUUGAAGUCACAGUUUGGCACUGGUUUCAUUGCUAAUGUAAGGAGCUGCAGUUUCUACAGUUCAUCAUGAGGCUGUGAAGCAGUUUUUCAAAGAUAAAUUUUUUGAGGAG